AACCGAGAAUUCCUACGGGAGGCAGCAGUGGGGAAUUUUGGACAAUGGGGGCAACCCUGAUCCAGCAAUGCCGCGUGAGUGAAGAGGGCCUUCGGGUUGUAAAGCUCUUUUGUCAGGGAAGAAACGGUAGUAGCUAAUAUCUAUUACUAAUGACGGUACCUGAAGAAUAAGCACCGGCUAACUACGUGCCAGCAGCCGCGGUAAUACGUAGGGUGCAAGCGUUAAUCGGAAUUACUGGGCGUAAAGCGUGCGCAGGCGGUUGUGUAAGUCAGAUGUGAAAUCCCCGGGCUCAACCUGGGAAUUGCAUUUGUGACUGCACGGCUAGAGUGUGUCAGAGGGGGGUAGAAUUCCACGUGUAGCAGUGAAAUGCGUAGAUAUGUGGAGGCAUACCGAUGGCUAAGGCAGCCCCCUGGGAUAACACUGACGCUCAUGCACGAAAGCGUGGGGAGCAAACAGGAUUAGAAACCCUAGUAGUCCGACUGAGA
Molecule: ribosomal RNA, 485 nt
Filed under: uncultured bacterium
Lineage: Bacteria
Description: bacterial SSU rRNA
Rfam family: Bacterial small subunit ribosomal RNA
Source: RNAcentral